CUUACAUCUCUCCGGAGCAUUUUACGAGGUGCUGCAUGGUUGUCGUCAGCUCGUGCCGUGAGGUGUCGGGUUAAGUCCAUAACGAGCGCAACCCUACCUUAGUUGCCAUCAGGUUAAGCUGGGGACUCUAAAGGAACUGCCUACGCAAGUAGUGAGGAAGGCGGGGAGUGACGUCAAAUCAGCACGGCCCUUACGUCCAGGGCUACACACGUGCUACAAUGGCCGAUACAGAGGGCAGCUACCUGGUGACAGGACGCAAAUCUCCAAAGUCGGUCUCAGUUCGGAUCGGAGUCUGCAACCCGACUCCGUGAAGUUGGAUUCGCUAGUAAUCGCGCAUCAGCCAUGGCGCGGUGAAUACGUUCCCGGGCCUU
RNAcentral lists this ribosomal RNA (371 nucleotides) under uncultured Sphingobacteriales bacterium. RNAcentral's name for it is "bacterial SSU rRNA". It matches the Rfam family "Bacterial small subunit ribosomal RNA", at positions 1008 to 1382 of the family's 1533-position model. Lineage: Bacteria; Pseudomonadati; Bacteroidota; Sphingobacteriia; Sphingobacteriales. The record is from RNAcentral.